CACGAAAUGAAGCUCGAACGAGCACAGCCAAAGAACGGCCGUUUCUGUCCUUUCUUCUUAAUCCCUUUGGCUUAGGGUUUCCCGGCCUGGACAGCCUGCCCAAGGGCACAUGGGCAUCCGUCCGGGGACAUUCAGGCAGUGACCAAUCCCAGGCCACCCAGGCUGCGCCCUGCGUCGUGGGCCAUUUCCCAGCCGGCCAGAGAUGGAGCAGCCACUGCGGGUCCCCGAGUCUCGGUGAGACAGUCAAGGAUGGACCUUGGAUGGAGACCGGCGUGCGGCCAUGUCCGUGGGUGAAGGAGGCGUGCAGGCCGUGCUGGGGGACAUGGUUGCUGUCCCCUCGGCCAAACCAUGAAAAGCAGCCCUCUCCCCCAACCCCCAGCACCAACCCGGAGACCACCCUCGGCCGGAGCCCAGCACGGCCACCGUCACGUCUCGGUCGUCCAGCUUGGGACAGGUCAGUUCCCAGACGUCCAGGCUGGAGCUGGUCCUUGAAGAUCCUGGGGGUCCAGCCCGGCACAGGAGGGCCAGCCCCCCAGGAGAAGAGGUGCUGAACUGGGUCCCCUGGAGGCUCCUGAGCCCCAGAACAGUGCCCUCUGAGCAGACGGGCACUCUCAGACCAGCUCCCGCUGGACAAGUCAGCUCCUGCCUGCCGCCUGAUGGGCCCUUGGGAGAAGCAGACAUGGUGAGGAAAAGGUCCCUGUGCCCUUCACCCUAAUUCCCCAGCCCCAAGUCCCACUGGGUUGCCAGCUUCAACCUAAGCAAAUAAUUCGUGCCCUCUAAACAAACGCGCGGGAAUCCCACCUGCCCUUCCCCCGCCC
This 818-nucleotide long non-coding RNA is filed under the name Sus scrofa (pig). RNAcentral describes it as "lncRNA (ENSSSCG00035021258.1)". Lineage: Eukaryota; Metazoa; Chordata; Mammalia; Artiodactyla; Suidae. The record is from RNAcentral.